This is a long non-coding RNA of Helianthus annuus (common sunflower), 392 nucleotides long. RefSeq lists it as uncharacterized. Lineage: Eukaryota; Viridiplantae; Streptophyta; Magnoliopsida; Asterales; Asteraceae. The record is from RefSeq and is a predicted model, not a curated record. The transcript has 3 exons.
UUGUUCAAAACCCUAAACCAUAAGAAACUCAAGAAAACAAGAGCAAUCAAGCCAAAAGAAUUGGGGCUUUAACUAAAAUCGUGAUCACCUAAGUUAGUAGAUCACAAGGCAAAGGAAUUGAAUCUUCAAGCGGACGAGUCGGAGUUGAUGCGCGCUUGAAGGAAAAGCACUAAAGGUGAUAUAUGUCUCACUCCGGAUGGCAAUCAAGCGUGAAUCUAAGAACCGAACACAACUUUUGAAGCUUCCGCACUAUUCGAAAUUGUUUUAGACAAUGUUCAUUUUGUAAACACUUACUUAUCGUCUGAACGUUUUAAAUUAGUAGGGAUGUUAAUUUUAAAUACCUUAAUCAUGUAUGGAUAUUAAACAUAACAAGCUUUUGUUAACCCGUAUUU